RNAcentral lists this ribosomal RNA (657 nucleotides) under uncultured bacterium. RNAcentral describes it as "bacterial SSU rRNA". It matches the Rfam family "Bacterial small subunit ribosomal RNA", at positions 729 to 1381 of the family's 1533-position model. The record is from RNAcentral.
CUGGGCCUUUCCUGACGCUGAGGAGCGAAAGCGUGGGGAGCGAACAGGCUUAGAUACCCUGGUAGUCCACGCUGUAAACGGUGGGUACUAGGUGUGGGGUCCAUUCCAUGGGUUCCGUGCCGUAGCUAACGCUUUAAGUACCCCGCCUGGGGAGUACGGCCGCAAGGCUAAAACUCAAAGGAAUUGACGGGGCCCCGCACAAGCGGCGGAGCAUGCGGAUUAAUUCGAUGCAACGCGUAGAACCUUACCUGGGUUUGACAUGGAUCGGGAGUGCUCAGAGAUGGGUGUGCCUCUUUUGGGGUCGGUUCACAGGUGGUGCAUGGCUGUCGUCAGCUCGUGUCGUGAGAUGUUGGGUUAAGUCCCGCAACGAGCGCAACCCUUGUUCACUGUUGCCAGCACGUUAUGGUGGGGACUCAGUGGAGACCGCCGGGGUCAACUCGGAGGAAGGUGGGGAUGACGUCAAGUCAUCAUGCCCCUUAUGUCCAGGGCUUCACGCAUGCUACAAUGGCUGGUACAAAGAGUGGCGAGCCUGUGAGGGUGAGCGAAUCUCGGAAAGCCGGUCUCAGUUCGGAUUGGGGUCUGCAACUCGACCUCAUGAAGUCGGAGUCGCUAGUAAUCGCAGAUCAGCAACGCUGCGGUGAAUACGUUCCCGGGGCU